AACGAACGCUGGCGGCAUGCCUAACACAUGCAAGUCGAACGAGACCUUCGGGUCUAGUGGCGCACGGGUGCGUAACGCGUGGGAACCUGCCCUUAGGUUCGGAAUAACUCCCCGAAAGGGGUGCUAAUACCGGAUAAUGUCUUCGGACCAAAGAUUUAUCGCCUUUGGAUGGGCCCGCGUUGGAUGAGCUAGUUGGUAGGGUAAAAGCCUACCAAGGCGACGAUCCAUAGCUGGUCUGAGAGGAUGAUCAGCCACACUGGGACUGAGACACGGCGCAGACGGCGAAGGGAGGCAGCAGCAGGGAAUAGUGGGAAAGGGGGGAAAGCCUGCUGCAGUGAUGCAGAGGGUGGGAAGAAGGGCUUCGGAUUGUCAAGAAGAGAAAGUGGGGAGGAAGGGCAGUAAGUUAAGAACUUGCUGGUUGGACGUUACCAACAGAAUAAGAACAGGAUAACUUCGUG
RNAcentral lists this ribosomal RNA (458 nucleotides) under uncultured bacterium. Its description in RNAcentral is "partial 16S ribosomal RNA". It matches the Rfam family "Bacterial small subunit ribosomal RNA", at positions 29 to 507 of the family's 1533-position model. The record is from RNAcentral.